Molecule: transfer RNA, 73 nt
Filed under: Oribacterium sp. oral taxon 102
Lineage: Bacteria; Bacillati; Bacillota; Clostridia; Lachnospirales; Lachnospiraceae
Description: tRNA-Ala
Rfam family: tRNA
About the family: Transfer RNA (tRNA) molecules are approximately 80 nucleotides in length. Their secondary structure includes four short double-helical elements and three loops (D, anti-codon, and T loops).
Source: RNAcentral
GGGGGCAUAGCUCAGUUGGGAGAGCACCUGCCUUGCAAGCAGGGGGUCAAGGGUUCGACUCCCUUUGUCUCCA